Molecule: unclassified non-coding RNA, 989 nt
Filed under: Hevea brasiliensis (rubber tree)
Lineage: Eukaryota; Viridiplantae; Streptophyta; Magnoliopsida; Malpighiales; Euphorbiaceae
Source: RNAcentral
GGCAAAUGAGUUCAAUCAAGCCAAACAAACAAAGUAUUCAUGAAUUGUCCUCUAAAGAAUUAACUAGAACAGAAGGAAUAUCAACAUUGACUGCAACCAUAACCAAAUAAGGCGUGCACUGUAUAAAUUACCUCUCAAAAGAACAAUAUUUAAAAAGAAAGGAUUACAAUAAAAUAUACAUCUUUGAAUUAUGUCAACUUAAGAACAUCUAUUCUGAAAUUCUAUACGGAGAUACAAAGUUACAUGAUGGUGGUAAGCCGAAUGGGGGGAAAAAGGCAUGGUCAUUUCACAUUAAAGACAUGUUCGAUUUCCAUUCUAUAAUUUACUCGGCCAAUGCAACUCUAUCAAAAUCCAUUAGCAUGAAAGGAAUGGAGUAACCAUAACUAAUCAAAUAAUAUUUCAAGUUACUCAGCUGGGCUGUGCGAGUGCUGCAAAUAAUGUCGUGCUGCUGAAAGGCUUAAACCGUAAAAAUCUUCCUCACCUUCUUCAUGUUUCUAUGACAUACAGGGCAAGUACCAGCAGCCUCCACUAUCCUGCAGAGAUAAAAUACAACUCAUGACUUGCACUGGCUUCCCAUAGGCCAGCUGGCCGAGAUGAGUGUCACAUGAGAAGUUUAUAGCAAUUUGACAAGAAGCGUGGAAACAACCAAAUUUUCUGUACCCAAAUCUUACGAGUAACUAUGACCGGGGUUGAGGCCAAAUACAUAGAAAGUGAGAUAUAUAACAUUCUGACAAUUGGCUAAUUAACUUUUUUAUUUCUCCCUAAAAUCUUAAAAGAUCUGAAGUCAUUUAUAAUUUCUCCAUAGCUGCAGUUCCCAUUACACCACCCAGUCCCCUUAGGAAUGAUAAGGUAUUGAUUCUAAGAGGUCAUGAUAGUAUACAAGUCUGUCCACACCCCACUGCAACCACACAAAGAUAAACUUGCUCUACAGAUAUUUAGUUCUAUAAUUAACAUCCAAUGGAGAUUUGCCAAACCAAAUUGAGCUCCAA